GAUGAAGAACGUAGCGAAAUGCGAUAAGUAGUGUGAAUUGCAGAAUUCAGUGAAUCAUCGAAUCUUUGAACGCACAUUGCGCCCCUUGGUAUUCCAUGGAGCAUGCCUGUUCGAGCGUCAUUUGUACCUUCAAGCUUUGCUUGGUGUUGGGUGUUUGUCUCGCCUUUGCGUGUAGACUCGCCUUAAAAUAAUUGGCAGCCGGCGUAUUGAUUUCGGAGCGCAGUACAUCUCGCGCUUUGCACUCAUAACGACAGCGUCCAAAAGUACAUUUUACACUCUUGACCUCGGAUCAGGUAGGGAUACCCGCUGAACUUAAGCAUAUCAAUAAGCGGAGGA
This 336-nucleotide unclassified non-coding RNA is filed under the name soil metagenome. Its description in RNAcentral is "partial contains 5.8S ribosomal RNA, internal transcribed spacer 2, and large subunit ribosomal RNA". The stretch from base 1 to 120 matches the Rfam family "5.8S ribosomal RNA", at positions 35 to 154 of the family's 154-position model. The record is from RNAcentral.